CUAAUAACCGUGACAGGGACUAGUAAUGAUGUUCGUGCUUUUUAGAGAGUUGGCGGCUGGUGCGAGCCAAUAGGACGGCAUGAUGAACUCCCCCUUGAGUUGCAGUCGUGAACAGCGAUUAGUAAGGACUGCCGCAGAUCUGCGUUAAAGACUUGAGCCGGACGUGUUUUACAUACGUCAACUAGGGUGGUACCGCGGGUAAAAGCUGAUGAACAGCCUCUCGUCCCUUAC
This 231-nucleotide non-coding RNA is filed under the name Bacillus sp. (in: firmicutes). RNAcentral's name for it is "Bacillus sp. T-box sequence". It matches the Rfam family "T-box leader". From Rfam's summary of the family: Uncharged tRNA acts as the effector for transcription antitermination of genes in the T-box leader family. T-boxes are found upstream of many aminoacyl-tRNA synthetase genes and some amino acid biosynthetic genes usually in Gram-positive bacteria. The anticodon of a specific tRNA base pairs to a specifier sequence within the T-box motif, and the NCCA acceptor tail of the tRNA base pairs to a conserved bulge in the T-box antiterminator hairpin. Lineage: Bacteria; Bacillati; Bacillota; Bacilli; Caryophanales; Bacillaceae. The record is from RNAcentral.